Molecule: ribosomal RNA, 250 nt
Filed under: uncultured methanogenic archaeon
Lineage: Archaea; Methanobacteriati; Methanobacteriota
Description: partial 16S ribosomal RNA
Rfam family: Archaeal small subunit ribosomal RNA
Source: RNAcentral
UGGGAUCUGGAAUGACCCAUGGUUCAAAGUUCCGGCGCUUAAGGAUCGCUCUGCGGCCUAUCAGGUAGUAGUGGGUGUAAAGUACCCCCUAGCCUACGACGGGUAUGGGCCUUGAGAGAGGGAGCCCAGAGUUGGAUUCUGAGACACGAAUCCAGGCCCUACGGGGCGCAGCAGUCGCGAAAACUUCACACUGGGGGCAACCCCGAUGAGGGAAAUCCUAGUGCUAGGACAUUUGUUCUAGCUUUUCUCA